Molecule: ribosomal RNA, 1073 nt
Filed under: Escherichia coli
Lineage: Bacteria; Pseudomonadati; Pseudomonadota; Gammaproteobacteria; Enterobacterales; Enterobacteriaceae
Description: partial 23S ribosomal RNA
Rfam family: Bacterial large subunit ribosomal RNA
Source: RNAcentral
UUCGACACACUAUCAUUAACUGAAUCCAUAGGUUAAUGAGGCGAACCGGGGGAACUGAAACAUCUAAGUACCCCGAGGAAAAGAAAUCAACCGAGAUUCCCCCAGUAGCGGCGAGCGAACGGGGAGCAGCCCAGAGCCUGAAUCAGUAUGUGUGUUAGUGGAAGCGUCUGGAAAGGCGCGCGAUACAGGGUGACAGCCCCGUACACAAAAAUGCACAUGCUGUGAGCUCGAUGAGUAGGGCGGGACACGUGGUAUCCUGUCUGAAUAUGGGGGGACCAUCCUCCAAGGCUAAAUACUCCUGACUGACCGAUAGUGAACCAGUACCGUGAGGGAAAGGCGAAAAGAACCCCGGCGAGGGGAGUGAAAAAGAACCUGAAACCGUGUACGUACAAGCAGUGGGAGCACGCUUAGGCGUGUGACUGCGUACCUUUUGUAUAAUGGGUCAGCGACUUAUAUUCUGUAGCAAGGUUAACCGAAUAGGGGAGCCGAAGGGAAACCGAGUCUUAACUGGGCGUUAAGUUGCAGGGUAUAGACCCGAAACCCGGUGAUCUAGCCAUGGGCAGGUUGAAGGUUGGGUAACACUAACUGGAGGACCGAACCGACUAAUGUUGAAAAAUUAGCGGAUGACUUGUGGCUGGGGGUGAAAGGCCAAUCAAACCGGGAGAUAGCUGGUUCUCCCCGAAAGCUAUUUAGGUAGCGCCUCGUGAAUUCAUCUCCGGGGGUAGAGCACUGUUUCGGCAAGGGGGUCAUCCCGACUUACCAACCCGAUGCAAACUGCGAAUACCGGAGAAUGUUAUCACGGGAGACACACGGCGGGUGCUAACGUCCGUCGUGAAGAGGGAAACAACCCAGACCGCCAGCUAAGGUCCCAAAGUCAUGGUUAAGUGGGAAACGAUGUGGGAAGGCCCAGACAGCCAGGAUGUUGGCUUAGAAGCAGCCAUCAUUUAAAGAAAGCGUAAUAGCUCACUGGUCGAGUCGGCCUGCGCGGAAGAUGUAACGGGGCUAAACCAUGCACCGAAGCUGCGGCAGCGACGCUGAUGCGUUGUUGGGUAGGGGAGCGUUCUGUAAGCCUG